This 70-nucleotide transfer RNA is filed under the name Metavelifer multiradiatus. RNAcentral's name for it is "tRNA-Gly". It matches the Rfam family "tRNA". Rfam says of the family: Transfer RNA (tRNA) molecules are approximately 80 nucleotides in length. Their secondary structure includes four short double-helical elements and three loops (D, anti-codon, and T loops). Lineage: Eukaryota; Metazoa; Chordata; Actinopteri; Lampriformes; Veliferidae. The record is from RNAcentral.
AUCUUUCUAGUAUCAAGCAGUACAAGUGACUUCCAAUCACACAGUCUUGGUUUAAGUCCAAGGGAAGAUA